UAAACAGCAGAUUUGUUUAGGGU
This 23-nucleotide small nuclear RNA is filed under the name Arabidopsis thaliana (thale cress). RNAcentral describes it as "snRNA_12377". Lineage: Eukaryota; Viridiplantae; Streptophyta; Magnoliopsida; Brassicales; Brassicaceae. The record is from RNAcentral.